ACAAAAUUAUUUCUUGAGCAUUUUAUCACUUCGGAUAAGAUUCAGGCGUGAGUAAUACAGACCCAGAGAAACCAUGGCUAAACAAGUUAGCCCCACAGAGUCACCGUGCUCGGGGCUCGGGCUUCUUCAGGCUGAGUCCUUGAUGGUGCAGCGUUCCACUCCAACCUCCAUGCCUUCGUCCACGUGUUCCAAAAUGGUUGUCGGAGCACCAGCCAUCAUAGCCUCAUUCCAAGCCUCAGGAUGAAGGAAGAAGACGAAAGAAAGAUGAGAAACGGAGACCCAGAAGAGUGGAAUUCCUUGCCCAAGUUCACACAGGCAGCAGAAGAGUUGGGACUAGAACCCAGGGACUCCUGACUCAUGGUGAAGAACAGAGCCAACGAAUUGGAGCUGUGGCAGAACACGGCGAGUGCCCCGGAUGCCAGGAACAGGAAACAUGGAAGCAGUUCUCAGAAGACAGACACUCAACACGGGCCAACUCCUGGCCGCUGAUGAUAUGCACACUCCCCAUCUGAAGUGGCUGCGAGCCAGGAGUGUGACCACAACAAGCAGGAACUCCCUUUUGUCCACUUCCUCCACGGGACAAGGCAUGGACCUGCCUCUCAUCAGCUCACCAAAUGCUUGAUGCCAACCCUGGGUUCAUCCUUACAGGCUGGGGAUGGAACAGCUUAGCUUCUUUUACUGGAAAUCCUCAUGCCUCCAUCCUACAGUAAUACAGAGUCAGCCAAACCUUGUUUUUCACUCGGAGCUGAUUUCCUGGCAAAAUUCCCAUUGCAGGACUCCAGCACUGACAGAGGUUAAUGGGUACCAUUUAGCCACUCUCAGCAGUGUUGGUUUGAUCUUCUUGGCUCUGGUACUCUUCCUCCUUCUGGCACAAGAAGAUUCAGCUUUUGCCCUUUAUCUUGUUAUUCAAGAGCCUGAGUGCCCAUGACAGCCGUGGGUGCACAUGCGGCUCCCUCUGAGUCCUUGGCAGACCAGCAGGAUUCAGACCAACGCAGGCAACGUGCACUGAGCUCUUCAUUUUCCCCUCAACAGCCAGCUGGCCUGUUGCUGAAACCAAGACCAAUCAGAAAAGACACACACACAUAUGUGGCUAGGACUGCCUUGUUUUCUCCUCUACCGAGAAAGACGAAGGAACAGAUAGGGGCUGCAGGAAGCAGCGUCUCACUCUUAUAAGGAAAGCUGAUUAAGCUGCCCUGAAUCCAAAGAACUCUUGACUUCCCUGAGUUCCUGAGUCCCCAGACUGUCUGCCUCAGCCCACAUAGUUACGUAUGAACAUGGUCUUGGAAGAGAAACGCCAAGGUGAACCUGACGACCUCUUGGCACACAAGUGCACGUUGGUUGCACUUAGAAACGAUGGGUCUCUUCCGGAACACCCACUGAGAUCCACCGAAAAGCUCCUGACCCUCAGCUUGAGACCCCACAGCAGAGAAGUAGAAAGGAGAGGGGUAUACAGAAGUUAGGGCCUACAGUCGACGUGGGCCUUGAAAAUAGCGUCAAGUCCUAUUACUCUUGAAGACGCCUGAAGUCACCUGCGAAAUACAACACUGUAUCCAGCCUCCACUGAGGGCAGUGGGGCUUACCAGUGUCUUUGGCAUCGGCAUGUCUCCCCCUGAACAGAUCGCUUUGGUUGAGCGCCAGGUGAAGUGGUUGGCUUGCAUUUAGGAACAUAAAAUGCACACCUCUUAACCCAAGACUCACGUUUACACAAGCAAGAAGCUCGAAGGUGGGACUGGGACCCCCUCAGGGUACUCCAUCACGCUGGCAGAUGCGCGUGAGUGGAGCGGCGCCCAGAACAGCCCAAGCAGGCAAACACGUGCUUGAUUCCGUCUCCCUGGCAGCACCCUCCCGCCGCCCUCCUCUCUUCUCCCUUUCGUCUCUGAGCACAGAGCUGAAUUUGCCCGUGUCUGGGAAUGAAUCUUCAUUCCCAAAUAUAGCUGGAAAGGGAGCUCAGCUUCCAAUGCAGAGAAUUCCUGCCCCUUCCCCCGCCAUGAAGAUUCCGGAAUUAUCCAGAGUCAUUCUUGCUUCUACCUACAUGUAAGUUCUGAAAGUUCAAAAAAAGUGUGAUUUGGAAAUCAAAAUUCUGCUCCUGAAGUGCAUAGGGAGGAACUGGAAGCUAAGGGGGCUUCAUGACGCGGCAGGGCACGGAGCCUCAGCUUAACAGCUCUGAAAUGGGUGUAGUAACACCCGCCUCCAUGGAAAGGGUGGAAUCAGCUUAAUGAAUUGGCUUCCUCAGAGCAGAAAAUGUGUCAUCCUCUUCAAAACCUUAAGAUGAAAGGUGUGAAAUGGUGUCAUUGUUUCAUAGAUUGCUACAUCAAACAUGGGACGCCUAUAAAACUGCAACACGUAAUUAUCAUAAAAAUAGCACACUGUUAAAACUCCCAGAGGACUAUGGCAUAUUGGGUGGAAGAGGAACGCACAUACCUGGUCCUGGGCAAAGAACCCCACCUCCCUUCCACCUCCUAAGAUCUGGCCACUACUACAGGUCCUCAAAUUUCUGUAACAGCCUCCCAGACAUUCUUCCCUGAUUCUGCCUGCACUCUGUGAUGCUGCGAUUUAUAUGAAGAAAAUUUGUUCUUUGUCCCCACUUUGGGCACAGAGCACCUAACACCCUUGGAAUUUCCUAAGCAAUGAGAGCAGCAAAGGGGUCUUUUGCUAUGCUAAUGCGUGAUCAAGGAAACCAACCCUGUGAUUAGAGAGUUGGAACUUUGAGUCCCACCCCCUUGACCUCCAAGAGGGGAGAGGGGCUUCAGGUUGAAUCAGUCACCAAUAGCCAUUGAUUUAAUCAAUCAUGCCAAUAUAAUGAAGCGCCAUAAACAAACCAAAAGGGCAGGGUUUGGAGGGCUUCUGAGUUGGUGGCACAUGGAGGCUGGUAGGGUGGCGAGAGCAUGGGAGCUCCGUGCCCCUUCCCCAUACCUCUCCUAUGCCUCUCUCUC
Molecule: long non-coding RNA, 2933 nt
Organism: Hipposideros armiger (great roundleaf bat)
Lineage: Eukaryota; Metazoa; Chordata; Mammalia; Chiroptera; Hipposideridae
Exons: 3
Source: RefSeq, a predicted model, not a curated record